This 68-nucleotide transfer RNA is filed under the name Ictidomys tridecemlineatus (thirteen-lined ground squirrel). Its description in RNAcentral is "Spermophilus tridecemlineatus (thirteen-lined ground squirrel) tRNA". It matches the Rfam family "tRNA". From Rfam's summary of the family: Transfer RNA (tRNA) molecules are approximately 80 nucleotides in length. Lineage: Eukaryota; Metazoa; Chordata; Mammalia; Rodentia; Sciuridae. The record is from Rfam by way of RNAcentral.
GUGUAGCUCAGUGGUAGAGUACUUACCUAACAAGUGCAAGGCCCUGGGUUCAAUUCCCAGUAUACACA